CCCUAUGGGGUGCAGCAGGCGAGAAAACUUUGCAAUGUGCGAAAGCACGACAAGGUGAAUCCGAGUGGUUUCUGCUAAAGGAACCUUUUGUCAGUCCUAGAAACACUGGUGAAUAAGGGGUGGGCAAGUUCUGGUGUCAGCCGCCGCGGUAAAACCAGCACCUCAAGUGGUCAGGAUGAUUAUUGGGCCUAAAGCAUCCGUAGCCUGCUUUGUCAGUUUUCGGUUAAAUCCAUACGCUCAACGUAUGGGCUGCCGGGAAUACUGCAAAGCUAGGGAGUGGGAGAGGUAGACGGUACUCGGUAGGAAGGGGUAAAAUCCUUUGAUCUAUUGAUGACCACCUGUGGCGAAGGCGGUCUACCAGAACACGUCCGACGGUGAGGGAUAAAAGCUGGGGGAGCAAACCGGAUUAGAUACCCGGGUAGUCCCAGCUGUAAACUAUGCAAACUCAGUGAUGCAUUGGCUUGAUGCCAAUGCAGUGCUGCAGGGAAGCCGUUAAGUUUGCCGCCUGGGAAGUACGUACGCAAGUAUGAAACUUAAAGGAAUUGGCGGGGGAGCACCACAAGGGGUGAAGCCUGCGGUUCAAUUGGAGUCAACGCCAGAGAUCUUACCCGGAGAGACAGCAGAAUGAAGGUCAAGCUGAAGACUUUACCAGACAAGCUGAGAAGAAGUGCAUGGCCACGGCG
RNAcentral lists this ribosomal RNA (683 nucleotides) under uncultured marine group I thaumarchaeote. Its description in RNAcentral is "bacterial SSU rRNA". It matches the Rfam family "Archaeal small subunit ribosomal RNA", at positions 321 to 1005 of the family's 1478-position model. The record is from RNAcentral. Lineage: Archaea; Thermoproteati; Nitrososphaerota.